GCUACGGCCACACCCCGCCUGGUUUACGCCCGAUCUCGUUUGAUCUCGGAAGCUAAGAUAGGUUGGGCCUGGUUAGUACUUGGAUGGGGAGACUGCCUGGGAAUACCAGGUGCUGUAAGCU
Molecule: ribosomal RNA, 121 nt
Filed under: Scophthalmus maximus (turbot)
Lineage: Eukaryota; Metazoa; Chordata; Actinopteri; Pleuronectiformes; Scophthalmidae
Source: RNAcentral